RNAcentral lists this transfer RNA (71 nucleotides) under Marmota monax (woodchuck). Its description in RNAcentral is "tRNA.Val". Lineage: Eukaryota; Metazoa; Chordata; Mammalia; Rodentia; Sciuridae. The record is from RNAcentral.
GGGGUUGUGGCUCAGUGGGAGAGUGUUCACCUCACACAUGUAAAGCACUGGGUUCCAUCCUCAGCACCACA